UACGUAGGGGGCAAGCGUUGUCCGGAUUUAUUGGGAGUAAAGUGGUCGUAGGUGGUAUGAUGAGUUGUGCGUGAAAGACCCCGGCUCAACUGGGGGAUGUCGUGCGAUACGGGCGGACUGGAGGCCAGUAGGGGGAUGCGGAAUUCCGGGUGUAGUGGUGGAAUGCGUAGAGAUCCGGAGGAACACCAGCGGCGAAGGCGGCAUCCUGGACUGGUCCUGACACUCAGGAGCGAAAGCGUGGGGAGCGAUCCGG
Molecule: ribosomal RNA, 253 nt
Filed under: uncultured bacterium
Lineage: Bacteria
Description: partial 16S ribosomal RNA
Rfam family: Bacterial small subunit ribosomal RNA
Source: RNAcentral